RNAcentral lists this ribosomal RNA (630 nucleotides) under uncultured bacterium. Its description in RNAcentral is "bacterial SSU rRNA". It matches the Rfam family "Bacterial small subunit ribosomal RNA", at positions 815 to 1444 of the family's 1533-position model. The record is from RNAcentral.
ACUAGAUGUUGGCCGUCAAAGGUCAGUGUCGCAGCUAACGCAUUAAGUAUUCCGCCUNGGGAGUACGGUCGCAAGAUUAAAACUCAAAGGAAUUGACGGGGACCCGCACAAGCGGUGGAGUAUGUGGUUUAAUUCGAAGCAACGCGCAGAACCUUACCAGCUCUUGACAUGGGACGUAUAGGGAUCAGAGAUGAUUUCUUUCACUUCGGGUGGCGUCCGCACAGGUGCUGCAUGGCUGUCGUCAGCUCGUGUCGUGAGAUGUUGGGUUAAGUCCCGCAACGAGCGCAACCCUCAUCGUUAAUUGCCAUCAGGUAGGGCUGGGCACUUUAGCGAAACUGCCGGUGAUAAGCCGGAGGAAGGUGGGGAUGACGUCAAGUCCUCAUGGCCCUUAUGGGCUGGGCUACACACGUACUACAAUGGCGGUGACAAAAGGCAGCAAAGGGGCAACCCCGAGCGAAUCCUAAAAAGCCGCCUCAGUUCGGAUUGUUCUCUGCAACUCGAGAGCAUGAAGUCGGAAUCGCUAGUAAUCGUAGAUCAGCAUGCUACGGUGAAUACGUUCCCGGGUCUUGUACACACUGCCCGUCACACCAUGGGAGUUGGUUUUACCUUAAGCCGCUGAGCUAACCUUCG